UAGAACAACUCUCAGCAACGGAUAUCUUGGCUCUUGCAACGAUGAAGAACGCANCGAAAUGNGAUACGUAGUGUGAAUUGCAGAAUUNCGCGAAUCAUCGAGUUUUUGAACGCAAGUUGCGCCCGAGGCUUGUCCGAGGGCAUUUCCGCUAGAGCGUCACC
Molecule: ribosomal RNA, 161 nt
Filed under: Bryum argenteum
Lineage: Eukaryota; Viridiplantae; Streptophyta; Bryopsida; Bryales; Bryaceae
Description: 5.8S ribosomal RNA
Rfam family: 5.8S ribosomal RNA
About the family: 5.8S ribosomal RNA (5.8S rRNA) is a component of the large subunit of the eukaryotic ribosome. It is transcribed by RNA polymerase I as part of the 45S precursor that also contains 18S and 28S rRNA.
Source: RNAcentral